AUGAACACUGUAGUUCAUGCUAUGCACCGGAGACUGCAUCAGGCUCUGUGGAUAAAGGUGACCAAAGAAGCAGGUGUGUCCUCCAGGAAGUCUCCCCCUCAGGGGCCCAAGGACACACCUGGAAGCCAUUAGCAGCAGCUCCGGCACCAGCUCUGGAGCCAGCCGUUGCAGCCACAAAGGGAUAGCAGAACCCAAGAUAAAGCCCCAACUAUCGCCCAUGGUGCCGCCCGGCUUUCUCUUCCAUACUCAUAGGUAGACCCUGCCUGAGACCGUUGGUACCCGAGCACUUUCUACUCCUAACUCAGCAAAGAGUCAGAAACUCCUGUCAUUAUUCUGAAACUACCAAAGGAAAGUCUCCAGGAAAAAGGCCCCUGUGGGUUGUCAAAAUGAUUGCCACCAAACCUGACUACCUAAGUUUGAUUUCUAGGAACA
Long non-coding RNA from Mus musculus (house mouse), 432 nucleotides. RefSeq annotates it as predicted gene, 53384. NCBI's taxonomy places the organism in Eukaryota, Metazoa, Chordata, Mammalia, Rodentia, Muridae. The record is from RefSeq and is a predicted model, not a curated record. The transcript has 4 exons.